RNAcentral lists this ribosomal RNA (834 nucleotides) under Daldinia sp. RNAcentral describes it as "partial large subunit ribosomal RNA". It matches the Rfam family "Eukaryotic large subunit ribosomal RNA", at positions 81 to 941 of the family's 3401-position model. Lineage: Eukaryota; Fungi; Ascomycota; Sordariomycetes; Xylariales; Hypoxylaceae. The record is from RNAcentral.
UAGUAACGGCGAGUGAAGCGGCAACAGCUCAAAUUUGAAAUCUGGCCCUAGCGGUCCGAGUUGUAAUUUGUAGAGGAUGCUUUUGGUGAGGUGCCUUCCGAGUUCCCUGGAACGGGACGCCGGAGAGGGUGAGAGCCCCGUACGGUUGGACGCCGAGCCUCUAUAUAGCUCCUUCGACGAGUCGAGUAGUUUGGGAAUGCUGCUCUAAAUGGGAGGUAAAUUUCUUCUAAAGCUAAAUACCGGCCAGAGACCGAUAGCGCACAAGUAGAGUGAUCGAAAGAUGAAAAGCACUUUGAAAAGAGGGUUAAAUAGCACGUGAAAUUGUUGAAAGGGAAGCGUUUGCGACCAGACUUUUUCCGGGCGGAUCAUCCGGGGUUCUCCCCGGUGCACUUCGCCCGGUUUAGGCCAGCAUCGGUUUCCUUAGGGGGAUAAAGGCUUGGGGAACGUAGCUCCCUCGGGAGUGUUAUAGCCCCUUGCGUAAUACCUUUCAGGGGACCGAGGAACGCGCUUCGGCAAGGAUGCUGGCGUAAUGGUCGUCAACGACCCGUCUUGAAACACGGACCAAGGAGUCGAACAUUUGUGCGAGUGUUUGGGUGUCAAACCCUCACGCGUAAUGAAAGUGAACGGAGGUGAGAGCCCUUACGGGUGCAUCAUCGACCGAUCCUGAUGUCUUCGGAUGGAUUUGAGUAAGAGCAUAACUGUUCGGACCCGAAAGAUGGUGAACUAUGCGUGGAUAGGGUGAAGCCAGAGGAAACUCUGGUGGAGGCUCGCAGCGGUUCUGACGUGCAAAUCGAUCGUCAAAUCUGCGCAUGGGGGCGAAAGACUUAUCGAACC